UGGGGAAUAUUGCACAAUGGGCGCAAGCCUGAUGCAGCCAUGCCGCGUGUAUGAAGAAGGCCUUCGGGUUGUAAAGUACUUUCAGCGAGGAGGAAGGCGUUGUGGUUAAUAACCGCAACGAUUGACGUUACUCGCAGAAGAAGCACCGGCUAACUCCGUGCCAGCAGCCGCGGUAAUACGGAGGGUGCAAGCGUUAAUCGGAAUUACUGGGCGUAAAGCACACGCAGGCGGUGUGUCAAGUCGGAUGUGAAAUCCCCGGGCUCAACCUGGGAACUGCAUCCGAAACUGGCAGGCUAGAGUCUUGUAGAGGGGGGUAGAAUUCCAGGUGUAGCGGUGAAAUGCGUAGAGAUCUGGAGGAAUACCGGUGGCGAAGGCGGCCCCCUGGACAAAGACUGACGCUCAGGUGCGAAAGCGUGGGGAGCAAACA
Molecule: ribosomal RNA, 427 nt
Filed under: uncultured bacterium
Lineage: Bacteria
Description: partial 16S ribosomal RNA
Rfam family: Bacterial small subunit ribosomal RNA
Source: RNAcentral